ACGCUGGCGGCAUGCUUUACACAUGCAAGUCGGACGGCAGCACAGAGAAGCUUGCUUCUUGGGUGGCGAGUGGCGAACGGGUGAGUAAUAUAUCGGAACGUACCGAGUAAUGGGGGAUAACCAAUCGAAAGAUUAGCUAAUACCGCAUAUUCUCUGAGGAGGAAAGCAGGGGACCUUCGGGCCUUGCGUUAUUCGAGCGGCCGAUAUCUGAUUAGCUAGUUGGUGGGGUAAAGGCCUACCAAGGCGACGAUCAGUAGCGGGUCUGAGAGGAUGAUCCGCCACACUGGGACUGAGACACGGCCCAGACUCCUACGGGAGGCAGCAGUGGGGAAUUUUGGACAAUGGGCGCAAGCCUGAUCCAGCCAUGCCGCGUGCCUGAAGAAGGCCUUCGGGUUGUAAAGGACUUUUGUCAGGGAAGAAAAGGCUGUUGCUAAUACCGACAGCUGAUGACGGUACCUGAAGAAUAGGCACCGGCUAACUACGUGCCAGCAGCCGCGGUAAUACGUAGGGUGCGAGCGUUAAUCGGAAUUACUGGGCGUAAAGCGAGCGCAGACGGUUACUUAAGCAGGAUGUGAAAUCCCCGGGCUCAACCUGGGAACUGCGUUCUGAACUGGGUGACUAGAGUGUGUCAGAGGGAGGUAGAAUUCCACGUGUAGCAGUGAAAUGCGUAGAGAUGUGGAGGAAUACCGAUGGCGAAGGCAGCCUCCUGGGAUAACACUGACGUUCAUGCCCGAAAGCGUGGGUAGCAAACAGGAUUAGAUACCCUGGUAGUCCACGCCCUAAACGAUGUCAAUUAGCUGUUGGGCAACUUGAUUGCUUAGUAGCGUAGCUAACGCGUGAAAUUGACCGCCUGGGGAGUACGGUCGCAAGAUUAAAACUCAAAGGAAUUGACGGGGACCCGCACAAGCGGUGGAUGAUGUGGAU
RNAcentral lists this ribosomal RNA (924 nucleotides) under uncultured bacterium. RNAcentral describes it as "bacterial SSU rRNA". It matches the Rfam family "Bacterial small subunit ribosomal RNA", at positions 33 to 946 of the family's 1533-position model. The record is from RNAcentral.